CAGAUGUGGAUGAUUGUUCCGAUUCAGAUGGAGGAGAGAAGCCAAACAAGCAAAGCAGAACAAAGCAGUGCAAUCACAUUCAGCCUUAUUAUAGAAUCAUCAAAAACUUGCACAAGCUGGGUGUCAGACUCUGUUCCAUGUUUUGUGUGUGUUCCUGCUCCCUGAUUGGUUAUCAUUUCAUCCCAGGUGUUUCCCAUGUGUAAUUUCCAUUGAUCCCAGGUGUGUCUCAUCUUGUUAUGUUUAAAUAGUGUUCCCUUUUUUCAGUUGGGCGUCCGGUAUUGUUCAUGUCUACAUGUGCUACGUGAGUUUUCCUUGUUAUAAUUAAACUUCUCUGGAUUGAUGUACUCCUCGUCUCCCUCUGUUCCUUGCUCCAUGCUCCACACUCCACUCAGUAGUGCAUCCGUGACAGAAUACCGGACCAAAAAAACAAAAAUCAGUGGGAUUGCAUUGGAUGAAAGUCAUCAUUUACCUCAAUGAUGUUGGAAUCUGCAAAGCCUGGAAGUCGCUCAUCUUUACAAACCACCCCUGCGUCCUCCUGGUGCGUGCAGUCACUGUUCCCCCAGCCACGGGACACACAUUUCUCUAUGCUGUUUUCCGAUCCUCCACACAUGACAUUAUCCAGCCAGAUUUUACCUGCAGAUUUUUGACCAGCCAGUGCCUGGUCCAUACUUGGCACUGUGCGACCAGCUUAGUGCCUCCACAAACCCUAGAUGGUGACAGAGAACAUGAGCGUUGGCCAAGGUGAAGUCGUCAUCACAGAUAGUGCCCCACUCUCC
Cyprinus carpio (common carp) is the source of this 776-nucleotide long non-coding RNA. RefSeq lists it as uncharacterized. The record is from RefSeq and is a predicted model, not a curated record. The transcript is spliced from 3 exons. NCBI's taxonomy places the organism in Eukaryota, Metazoa, Chordata, Actinopteri, Cypriniformes, Cyprinidae.